UACGUAGGGGGGCUAGCGUUGUCCGGAUUUAUUGGGCGUAAAGAGCGUGUAGGCGGCCCAGGUAGGGUCUGCUGUGAAAACUCGAGGCUCAACCCUCGAGACGUCGGCGGAAACCAUCUGGCUAGAGUCCGGAAGAGGAGAGUGGAAUUCCUGGUGUAGCGGUGAAAUGCGCAGAUAUCAGGAAGAACACCCGUGGCGGAAGGCGGCUCUCUGGGACGGUAC
RNAcentral lists this ribosomal RNA (222 nucleotides) under uncultured bacterium. RNAcentral's name for it is "partial 16S ribosomal RNA". It matches the Rfam family "Bacterial small subunit ribosomal RNA", at positions 524 to 740 of the family's 1533-position model. The record is from RNAcentral.